Molecule: ribosomal RNA, 361 nt
Filed under: Bacteroides fragilis str. DS-208
Lineage: Bacteria; Pseudomonadati; Bacteroidota; Bacteroidia; Bacteroidales; Bacteroidaceae
Source: RNAcentral
CACAGCCGAGCGUUACUAAUUGCCCGAUGACUUUCUUUUAUCCGCCUUCAAUGGUUUAUAUAUCCGUUUAGCUUCACUAUUUAGACAAUAGACCGCUGAAUUUACUUUUGUACAUUAUGUCUGCCUUAUUCAGGUGACUAUAGCAUCAGGGUUCCACCUCUUCCCAUUCCGAACAGAGAAGUUAAGCCUGAUCACGCCGAUGGUACUGCGUAACAGUGGGAGAGUAGGUAGUCGCCGUUUUUUUCGGAUGGUUCACCCCCUCCGGUCGAAAGACCGGAGGGGAUGACUUGUUUUAUACGGGGGGAAGGAAAGGGAGCGCCGGGCUGCCCUCCGGAUAACACUUUCUUAAUGGAGAUGGCUA